RNAcentral lists this ribosomal RNA (488 nucleotides) under uncultured bacterium. RNAcentral describes it as "partial 16S ribosomal RNA". It matches the Rfam family "Bacterial small subunit ribosomal RNA", at positions 28 to 507 of the family's 1533-position model. The record is from RNAcentral.
GACGAACGCUGGCGGCGUGCUUAACACAUGCAAGUCGAACGGAAAGGCCCUGCUUUUGUGGGGUGCUCGAGUGGCGAACGGGUGAGUAACACGUGAGUAUCAUGCCCUUGACUUUGGGAUAACUUCAGGAAACUGGGGCUAAUACCGGAUAGGAGCUCUUGCUGCAUGGUGGGGGUUGGAAAGUUUCGGCGGUUGGGGAUGGACUCGCGCGGUAUCAGCUUGUUGGUGGGGUAGCGGCUUACUAAGGCUUUGACGGGUAGCCGGCCUGAGAGGGUGAUCGGCGGCAUGGGAGGUGAGACACCGUCCAGGGUCCUACGGGAGGCAGCAGCAGGUAAGGGGGCGCAAUGGGGGAAAGUCUGACGGAGCGGCGGCGCGCGAGUGAUGAAGGUCCUCGGAGCGUAAAACCCUCUUAUUGGUGAAGAACCAAUUUGUAAGUAACUAUGCCGGUCUUGACGGUAAGUGAUAAGAAAGCCCCGGCUAACUACGUG